This 1545-nucleotide long non-coding RNA is filed under the name Zea mays. RNAcentral describes it as "long non-coding RNA (ZMAY_LNC003673)". The record is from RNAcentral. Lineage: Eukaryota; Viridiplantae; Streptophyta; Magnoliopsida; Poales; Poaceae.
CAAAGUAAGGUGAGCAAGUUUUCUAAGGAGAGAUAGGCUUAAUGCUGUACAAAUCUGAGAGUAAACUGCACCUAAACAUCCUCCGUCAGUUGGGUAUGGUCUGAACUCUGGUUCAGUUAGCUGCAAACUGAGUUUUUGUGAAUUUGUGCUCAAUUUUGGAGGUCUAUAGUACCAAAUCCGUGGGGUUUUGGACUAGGAAUUCUGAAGCAAAGAUGUAGAAGGAUGUUGAGAGAGCAAUUUAUGUUACGAUCGGUUCACUGUUAUCAUUUGGAAUCGUGAGAUUUAAGGGGAUUAAGAUGGGGGUUCUAUCGAAGAAGUGUGGGAUUCAGGUGCUGAUAGCUGAAACUUGGAUCAGUUUGGGGCAUACAAUUUGGUGCAGACGUCCACUCUCUGAAACGUCUCUCUGAAAUUCUUUAUUCUCUUCCUUAUCUCCACAUCAUUUCUCUCGUCUAGAUAAUUCAAGCGCUCCUUCCUAUCCAUUCCAGCUGCAUCUCUCAACGUUCUCUCUUUUAUCUGGUGCACACGUGACACGUACACUCUCUAGAAAUCUCCCACGUCUCUCUCUCUCGGCGUGCUCCAAUUGAACUCUCACGCAUAGCGCAUAGCACUCGCCUUCGCCUUGUACCUUGUGCUCAACUCCCAGAUACUGAGCCCGGACGCGAGCUCCCUUCUCACGCUGGCUUGGGCGCUGCUGCUGCUCUUCCGUGCCUUGAGCUGCUUCCUCACGCGCUCGACCGACCAUCUGUCGCUGCUCCAUCGCACAUGUUCUAGCUCGCCGGCCUGGUACCGUCUUCCAACUCCACGCUUUGCCGUCCGCCGACCUCGCUGGUGAGGUGAGGGCCGACGUCGUCCUGCAGCUUCCACGCUGUGCCGACGCUCGUCGUGCAGCCUUGUUUGUUGUGCUUGCCGCAGUUCCCCAUCCAUGUUGUGAGCUGCAACGUACUCAUGGUUGUUAUCUCCUCGUCGGCCAUGCUCAACCUCGCAGCUCCUUCGCGUCGUCGAUUUCCUUGACCCACAGCCUCUCUUCCGACAUCGUCGUGCUCGUGGUGUCAUUGUAAAGCUGCUAGCUGCCAGUCUCGCUGGUACGUCGUCGAUUUUUAUAUGUUUGGAAUUGUCGGCCGUGUACUUAGUAUUUAUUAGUGUUGUCUUCUCAAGCAGUUCCUGAUACCCAGCAAGCCGUUGUGCUCGGCAUACUUUCUCUAUGUGGUUCUCUCGCUUCAUCGGCUUUCCGCGUGUUAGAGCAGGUAUGGUUCGGAUAUAUACGUAAAUGCGGGAGAAAGUUCGAGAAAAAUGGGCAUCUAAUGUGUUCGUGUAAAAUAAAGUUGCUUAGCAUGUUUUGGAUGGUUAGAUGAGUUCUAAGGAUAAGUAGCUCCCUGGUAGUUAUGGCUUGUGGUGAUAGCUUAUAAUUGUAAUUUCGUAAUGCUUCGUAAUGCCUUCCUUGUUAGUAGCUUAGACACAGGCAUUCAUAAUCAUGGCAUUUCAUGUAGAGUACCAAGAAGAAGUGAUUUGUCAAGAAAGGAGCAUGUUCUAGUUCUGCUGAUCCAG